Molecule: ribosomal RNA, 1411 nt
Filed under: uncultured bacterium
Lineage: Bacteria
Description: partial 16S ribosomal RNA
Rfam family: Bacterial small subunit ribosomal RNA
Source: RNAcentral
AGAGUUUGAUCCUGGCUCAGGACGAACGCUGGCGGCAUGCCUAACACAUGCAAGUCGAACGGAAAUUACUUCUGUAAUCUUAUUGGCGAACGGAUGAGUAACUCGUGGGCAACCUGCCCUCUACAUGGGGACAACUUCCCUAAAGGGGUGCUAAUACCUAAUGUGACACCUUUCUCACAUGAGGAUGCUGUGAAAGAUGGCCUCUAUUUAUAAUCUAUCGCUACAGGAUGGGCCUGCGUCUGAUUAGAUAGUUGGUGGGGUAACGGCCUAACAGGCGAUGAUCAUUAGACGGUCUUGAGAGGAUGAACGGCCACAUAUGGGACUGAGACUCCGCCCAGACUCCUACGGGAGGCAACUUUGGGGAAGCUUCCACCAUGGACGAAAGCCUGAAAUAGCAAUCAAGGGUGAGUGACGAAAGAAUUCAUUCCGUAAAGAUCUUUUAAGUUUUUCGAAUGUGCAAAUUGUGUAUUAUGAUUUGUAAUGGCGGUUGUAUAAGAAUAAACCCAGGCUUAAUUCGUUCCAACAACCGCGGUAAUUAGUAGGUGGCCAACGUUUCUCGGAAUUAUUGGGCGUAAAGAGCAUGUAAGCGGUUUUAUUAAUGUGGAGUGUAAAAUACGGGGACUCUUCCCUCGUAUGGCUCUGUAUACUGGAAGACUCGAGUGCACGAGAGAAAAGAAGAAUUCUCAGUGUAGCGCUGAGAUGUGUAGAUAUUGGGAGGAACACCACUGGCGAAGGCGCCUUUCUGGACUGUGUAUGACGCUGAGAUGCGAAAGCCAGGGUAGCGCACGCGAUUAGAUACCCCGGUAGUGUUCACCGUAAACGAUGGGUAUUAGGUGUAGGAGGUAUCCACCCCCUCUGUGCCGGAGUUAACGCAAUAAGUAUCCCGCCUGGGGAGUACGUCCCCAAGGAUGAAACUCAAAGGAAUUGACGGGGGCCCGCCCAACCAGUGGAUUAUGUGGUUUAAUUGGACGCAACGGGAAGACCCUUCCCAGGACUUGCCAUCCUACUAUCGACGUAGAGAUACAUUAGGCGCCCUUCGGCGAAAGCUCAGACAGGUCGUGCAUGUUUGUAGUCAGCUUGUGUCGUGAGAUGUUGGGUUAAGUCCCGCAGCGCGCGCAACCCCUAUUGUUAGUUGCUUCGAAAGAGCCCUUUAGCGAGGCUGCCCUUGACAAACCGGAGGAGGGCGGGGGAGACGUCAAAUCCUCCUGCCCCUUAUGUUCUGGGCUACCCCCGUAAUACCAUGGUGGUAAACAGAGGGAAGCCAAAGCCGCGAGGCAGAGCAAAUCCCUAAAAGCCAUCUCAGUUCGGAUUGCAGGCUGCAACUCGCCUGCAUGAAGCUGGAAUUGCUAGUAAUCGCGGAUCAGAAUGCCGCGGUGAAUACGUUCCCGGGCCUUGCACACACCGCCCGUCA